This 301-nucleotide ribosomal RNA is filed under the name uncultured bacterium. RNAcentral's name for it is "partial 16S ribosomal RNA". It matches the Rfam family "Bacterial small subunit ribosomal RNA", at positions 509 to 807 of the family's 1533-position model. The record is from RNAcentral.
CAGUCGCCGCGGUAAUACGUAGGUGGCAAGCGUUGUCCGGAAUUAUUGGGCGUAAAGGGCUCGCAGGCGGUUUCUUAAGUCUGAUGUGAAAGCCCCCGGCUCAACCGGGGAGGGUCAUUGGAAACUGGGAAACUUGAGUGCAGAAGAGGAGAGUGGAAUUCCACGUGUAGCGGUGAAAUGCGUAGAGAUGUGGAGGAACACCAGUGGCGAAGGCGACUCUCUGGUCUGUAACUAACGCUGAGGAGCGAAAGCGUGGGGAGCGAACAGGAUUAGAUACCCCCGUAGUCCCUGUCUCUUAUAC